Dromaius novaehollandiae (emu) is the source of this 3802-nucleotide long non-coding RNA. RefSeq lists it as uncharacterized. Lineage: Eukaryota; Metazoa; Chordata; Aves; Casuariiformes; Dromaiidae. The record is from RefSeq and is a predicted model, not a curated record. The transcript is spliced from 2 exons.
CCGCGGGGCUCCGGCGGCUCCCUGCCGCGCGCCACGCGCCGCCUCUGGCCCCGCCCCACGCCCGAGGGCGGCCGUUAGGGAGGGCGCCCCACGCUCCCCCGCCCGUUUAACGGCCCCCGGCCCGCGCCGCGCCCCGGGGGGAGCGGAGAAAUGCUGGGCGAUGGGCAACCUCGUGCGUGUGCGAGUAUAUUUAUGUAGAGAGGCUAAAAACAAACGCAGUCCUAGCGCAGCACCGGAGACCUGUGCGCCGGCGGCCGCCCCGGGCCUGGCCCCCUGCGAGCCCGCGGAGGUAGGAGCAGUGCCGAGCAGCGCGCUGGCCCGCGCUGAAGUUAGUUGGAGUGGGGACAGCUGCUCAAGCGGUUUGGAGACAUCCGGGCAGAAAAGCGGAGCCCUUCCUACGGGGGGCUUUUUUUUCCCCCUUGGUCUUUGUUUUCUGUUUUGAGAUACCGCGGAAAAGUUGCCAAUAUGUGCUUGAAACAGCACGUAUAAAGGAUCUCAAGGAUUGGACAGAAAGAGCUAGGCUCCUUUCUGCUCUUCUAUUCCAUGCGGAUUCUUUUAGCCUGUUUUCAGCACUGCCUAAUCUUUCCCAGCCAGCUUUGAUGAUCAAACAAGGUUAGUUGCCCUGAAGGGGCUGCCCUAAAAAGGACAAACGAUGAUGUCAGUCCACAAAAGCUAUAGACUUAAAAAAUAAGGAAUAGACUUGGAAACUUUUUGUAGUUAACAUUUCUCAUGACAAAAUAUUAAAGGUUUUUUAAUUAGUCAGUAAUUUAAAAGAAGUGUUUCAAGUCUUUGGUAAAGUGAAUGGAUGGGGAACGAAAUGAUGUCUGUGCCUCUAAUGGUACUUGUAAAAUAACAGGAAAGGAGUUUGGCAUCAUUUAUGGAGACAAGCUAUUUUUCCUAUUUACAGUACUAAGUACAUUUUUUUUUUGUUGAAACUUCUAAGAGCAUCUUUGAAUGAUUGUAAGGACAAGUACUCAUGUACUUGUCAAAUCAAGUAUGACCAAUGUCCUACACUAAUGCUUACAAUUAAGUAUGGUUUACACAUUCUAAAAUACCCAUCAAUGAAAAAGUAAAUUUAUUACCUGCAUUUAUGCAAAUAUAAACUGUUCACAGUCAAGAGAAUGGAUUUGUCCAGUUGCUCUUUGAAUCCAUGUUCAAAUGACCACAAUAUUCUGUUGCAAGGGGUUUCAUAGCUCCUUUAUGAAAUGUGUGAAGAAGUACCUCCUCAUCUUUGUUUGAACCUGCCAUUUUCUUGCUGCCUGUAAUGACAUCCGAUACCAGCACUAGGGGACAGCAAGAACAAUCAAAUCCAUUCAGCAUCACUGUGCCAGUUGUCAUUUGAUAGAUGUUCAUCACUCCCUUUGAUCUGUUGUUUAGACUGGAGACUCAUAAUCUUUUAAGUCAUUCUUCAUAUGAAGCUGUUCUGUAAUUUUAAUCAUUCUUCAUUUUUCCCAAUACUUGCUUCAGUACUGCCAUAUGGUUUUAAUGUGGGAGACAAGAAUUGCACAGUAUUCAAGCCUGAAUGGUUGCAGAAGCAGCAUGGAUUUAUACAGUUCUCUUUCCUAAUAAUACCUAAUAUUUGAUUUGGCCAUUGCUGAGUACUGAAUGUAUAUUUUCAGAGCUAUCAAUUGUGUAUUCAUGUCUCUGAAAUAAUCCUGAUUGUCAGGUUGCCAAGUGUGAUACUAACAGUGAGAAAAUAUUAUUUUCUCCUAAAGCAGAUCUUUUCUAACUAUAAGAUUAUUUAAAUGUGAGAAUAGUUUUAGUUUUACCUUUCUGUCCUCUAGUCUUUUGUAUUAUGAUUUUUCUAUGUAAUAUAAUAGGCUGAUUGCCGAGUUUACCAUUCACUUAUUUUUUGGUUUCUGUAAUUAAAUUUGUACUUAUUUAAUCAUCUUUUUCUAUUAAUUUAAACCUUACACAUAACUACACAAGCAUAUCUUAAAUACCAGUGUUACAACUGUAGUAGUUAACCACAGAAGCUGCCUUCGAGGAAAUUUAUUAGUAUUAUAACAUUAAUACUGUGAAAUGGCCAACUGUGAUAGAUUUGGUGACACUUAACAGUAGAUCAGAUACAGUAGUGACAGUCUCUGAAGUUGUGUCCCGUAUAGCUUCAUCAGUGUGCCUUAUAACAUAGUAAACAACAGUUUAAUCUUCACGGUCGUUCAACCCUGCUUUUUCUGCUGUCUCUAUCAACUGCGCCUAUGUUACUGUUGCCUUUUAUUAUGUGGAUUUCUAUCUACUAUGAAGCUGUCUAAAACUAUCAGAUCAUUUGACACAUGCCACUUUACACCAUAUCAAGGGUGAAAUUUUCUCAGGGGCAGCGGUACACACAGGGCUUAUGCAUCACUUCAAUUUUACUGACACUCUAAGGCUUUUGUUUAAAUUCUCUAACAGUUCCGUGUGACUUGGAAACAAGUACCUUCUAAAUAAAGUAUGGGCUUAUCGUUAACAUCAAUAGUUAUUUGCCACAUUUGGGCAAAAUAUAUGUAAAAUGCUUCCUUUCUAAUUCGAUGUCCUUGCUAUCUUAAAAGGAGCUAUUUGGUUUGGCCUUGUUCAUCCCUCUUUUUCUCUCAUUUUGUAUUUAAACAUUGUAUUCUAAUUUCAAGUGCAUCAAUGGAGAAUAUGUUGGAUAUGUCUUAAAACCAAUGCACUGAGAUGUGAUAUCAGAAGUACAGCGCAUGACUGUUAGCUUCACCUGCCUGUACCUCUGCUCGAGCUGAGCCUAAAGGACAUACAGGAGCAUUCAGAGGGAAGUGAAUGACUUCCUUCUACUGUAAACAUUUCCUGGUUUCUGGAGAUUAUCCCUGCCUCUAAUACUCCCUUGUUUUGCUGCUUUGGGAAUAAAGUGAACAGUUACACUAACUGAAGCACUGGCGAUUAGCUGAAACUGUCCAGUGUCUGCCUCAAUGUACUUUCUCUAGCUUAUAUGUAAAGGUGAGUAAGUAGCUUACAUGCAAUCUUUUUUGCUAUCACAUUACCUGAAUCCGUUUGCUUUAGAAGAAAUUUUCAGAAGAAAAUCUUUUUGGUUUAGUUUUGAAUGUAUUUUUCCAUCCAUGUGUAUAACAAAAAAUAUUACUUAAGAAAAUACUUAAGUUGUAAUUUAAUAAGCCCAUACAAUAGUUCAAAUAACUUCCUAAAGUUCUUCAUUUCUAUUGCUUUUAUUUAAUUUGUACUGUUAAGUUUUAAAAAUCCUGCCUUUUUAUCACCAAUAAUGUGGUUCCAAACAUUAUUUCCUGUGCUUAUCAGUAUAUAAACAGAACAAUAGAGAAUCUUGGCAUAGUUUAGCAUUCUAUCAAAACUAAUACACUUUUGCCAAAAGAGAGGAAAUAUCUGUCUCUAUUGUUCUGUUAAUGUGGGUGGGGUAAACAGACCUUUAGGGAGUCACUUAUUGUUGUAGGAAGUUAUUAUAAAAUGGCAUUAUAGCAGAGACUACAGGAGUAUUUACUGAAAGUUCAGCAACACUUGAAAGCUAUUCAGCCCACUUAAUAAAAUGUUUAUAUAUCCUGUUUCAAUGCACACCAAACAGUGUUGAAGAAAGGAAGUCAUUUCAUAUCAAAUGAAUUUUUAUUAAUCACAAAGCUUAAAAAUAACAAGUCAGAUCAAUUUAAAUCAAUCUGUGAACUUUUUUCUAGACAAUACUGUAGCCUUCUACAAGAAAAAAGACUUGUACAAGAGAAAAUUCUCCAACGAUAAAAUGUAUUAUCUGUCCUGCAAUAAUCAAGAGGUGAUGAAAUACUAGUUUGAUUUGAAUAAUUGUGUGAUUUCAGCUGCUAGAUUCUUGUUUUAAAAAUAAAAUAUGAAUAUA